GACGAACGCUGGCGGCGUGCUUAACACAUGCAAGUCGAACGGAAAGGCCCUGCUUUUGUGGGGUGCUCGAGUGGCGAACGCGUGAGUAACACGUGAGUAACCUGCCCUUGUCUUUGGGAUAACUUCAGGAAACUGGGGCUAAUACCGUAUAGGAUCUCCUGCUCCAUGGUGGGCGUUGGAAAGUUUCGGCGGUUGGGGAUGGACUCGCGGCUUAUCAGCUUGUUGGUGGGGUAGUGAAUUACCAAGGCUUUCACGGGUAGCCGGCCUGAGAGGGUGACCGGCCACAUUGGGACUGAGAUACGGCCCAGACUCGUACUGGAGGCAGCAGUGGGGAAUAUUGCACAAUGGGCGGAAGCCUGAUGCAGCAACGCCGCGUGCGGGAUAACGGCCUUCGGGUUGUAAACCACUUUCGCCUGAGACGAAGCGUGAGUGACGGUAAUGGGUAAAAAAGCAACGGCUAACUACGUG
This 468-nucleotide ribosomal RNA is filed under the name uncultured bacterium. Its description in RNAcentral is "partial 16S ribosomal RNA". It matches the Rfam family "Bacterial small subunit ribosomal RNA", at positions 28 to 507 of the family's 1533-position model. The record is from RNAcentral.